UACAGAGGUCUCAAGCGUUGUUCGGAUUCAUUGGGCGUAAAGGGUGCGUAGGUGGCGCUGUAAGUCAGGUGUGAAAUUUCGGAGCUUAACUCCGAAACUGCAUUUGAUACUGCGGUGCUCGAGGACUGGAGAGGAGAGUGGAAUUUACGGUGUAGCAGUGAAAUGCGUAGAGAUCGUAAGGAAGACCAGUGGCGAAGGCGGGUCACUGGACAGUUCCUGACACUGAGGCACGAAGGCCAGGGGAGCAAACGGG
RNAcentral lists this ribosomal RNA (253 nucleotides) under uncultured bacterium. RNAcentral describes it as "partial 16S ribosomal RNA". It matches the Rfam family "Bacterial small subunit ribosomal RNA", at positions 524 to 776 of the family's 1533-position model. The record is from RNAcentral.